Molecule: ribosomal RNA, 470 nt
Filed under: Streptococcus parasanguinis
Lineage: Bacteria; Bacillati; Bacillota; Bacilli; Lactobacillales; Streptococcaceae
Description: bacterial SSU rRNA
Rfam family: Bacterial small subunit ribosomal RNA
Source: RNAcentral
GAUGAACGCUGGCGGCGUGCCUAAUACAUGCAAGUAGAACGCUGAAGCUUGGUGCUUGCACCGAGUGGAAGAGUUGCGAACGGGUGAGUAACGCGUAGGUAACCUGCCUCUUAGCGGGGGAUAACUAUUGGAAACGAUAGCUAAUACCGCAUAAAAGUCGAUAUCGCAUGAUAUUGAUUUGAAAGGUGCAAAUGCAUCACUAAAAGAUGGACCUGCGUUGUAUUAGCUAGUUGGUGAGGUAACGGCUCACCAAGGCGACGAUACAUAGCCGACCUGAGAGGGUGAUCGGCCACACUGGGACUGAGACACGGCCCAGACUCCUACGGGAGGCAGCGGUAGGGAAUCUUCGGCAAUGGACGGAAGUCUGACCGAGCAACGCCCCGUGAGUGAAGAAGGUUUUCGGAUCGUAAAGCUCUGUUGUAAGAGAAGAACGAGUGUGAGAGUGGAAAGUUCACACUGUGACGGUACUA